CACCACGACGGGAACUCCUCUUUUACCUUGUACCAUGGCACCUGCGGCACAUGGAAGUUCCCCAGGCCAGGGGUCGAGUCAGAAGCCUAUGCUGCAGCCACCACGGGAACGCCACACACUCGCUGCCUUCUUACCACCGACCCUGCCACCCCACGAAACACUGCACCCCUGCCUGGCACUCCCCGUCCCCUCUCCUGCCCCCACCCUUAGGUUUUGUGGUUUGGUUCAGCUUUAUUUUGCCAAAGCACUUCCCUUCUCACAUUUCCUGUACUUUAUGUAUUUUAACUGUUUGUUUUGUUUCCCACGCUAAGAUGUCAGUUGCAGGAAGCGAGGAAUCUCGGGCUGUUUUGCUCACUGAUGUCUCGGGAGCACCAGGGCCAGGGCCGGAGCCUAUGGGCCACACCCGUGGCAUACGGAGGUUCCCAGGCUAGGGAUGGAAUCGGAGCUGCAGAUGCUGGCCUACACCACAGCCACAACCAUGCCAGAUCCGAACCGUGUCUGCAGUCUACACCACAGCUCACAGCAAUGCCAGAUUCUCAACCUACUGAGCGAGGCCAGGGAACGAACCUGUAUCCUCGGGAUAUGAGUCACAUUCAUCUCCACUGAGCCACGAAGGGAAAUCUGGCAGGAAGGAACUUGAAAGCUCUGGGCAAGGCUUGUCUGCCUUUGAGCCAGAAGGUACCCCGGGCAAAGGGGCAGGCUGGGGCAAAGGCCUGGCGGUGGGGGUUUGCUCAGGCUGCAGCGACCAGAGAGAGGCUGGGGGAGGCCUUGGCGCCAUGCUGGGGGUGGCUGGAAGCCAGUCCAGUGUCAGUGGCUGUGGCAUGGACAGUGCCAGCCCAGGUAUGGUCCCCCCGCCCCGGCCAUGUCCCCUUCCCACUCCAGGAGAACAAGCAGACACUCACUCAGGAAGAAGUAGAGGUGCUGGUGGUUGUAGGGUAAGUAUCUCCGCUUCUUCUGGCCGUACUGUGGGGACAGGUGGCCGCUGAGGAGGGCAGCUCUCUGGGCCUCCUCGUCCCAGGCAGGGUCAGGGGGUCGGCUGGGGCCGAGGAGCCAAGGCAACUCUAGGUUCCAGCAACUGGGAGGUGGGGAGGGGGUAGCCGGGGGGGGGGGGGCAGAAGCUCAUCCUGGAGCUAGAGCAGAGGGCCUGGGCCACAGGGGGGGGCUCGGGGGUCACCAGGUCCCCUCAGCUGCCCAGCCUGAGCGUGUCCCCCAUGCACCUCGAUGGAUGACUCCCCCAGGAGGAAGACAGGCGCCACGGUCACGUCUGGGUCCUUGUGGAAGAUGUUGGGCUUGGCGUGGUGCUGGAAGUGGCGGAAGUUCCACCAGUGGGCAGAGAAACCCUGCAGAGACAGGGGCUCUCAGGGGUGGGGCCAGGCUGGGUCCACUCUCCAGAGCCAGCGCGGGGACCCCGACUCAGCCCCAGGCUGCCCAGCCCCCAGCCCGCCCUCACCUUCAGCUGCCCCAUCACGAACUGCUGGGCCAAGUGGUUCCACCAGGACUUCCUGAAGAUGGAGAUGUGGCCCAGGUCGUGUUGCAGACACCAGCUCUGGGCCUGGGGAGACGCAGGAUCAGGGGCCUUGGCCGGGAGCCCCCAACGAGCCCUCCCAGCUCGCAGGGCACCCCCACAGCUGAUGUUCCACUCUAGACCCUAGGGGGCCAGCUUCCUCUUUUAUGCAGCUUGGCCCACCGAUACCGGCCUCAUGGGGCCUCUGGCUGGCCAUUUGUUUGUUCAUUCAUUCAUCUAUUCAGCAAAUAGGUCCUGAGUGUCCGUGUGUGCCAGGCCCUGUGUCUGUUGGACAGUUUAGGUGGCUGCAAGAAGUGCUGGGGUCACCUGGGAGAUGGCCAGGAUGAAGGCGGCGAGGGUGCUGGGCACCCAGCCGGGGCCGAGGAGGUAGAUGAUAAGCCAGGCGAGGACCUCCAUGGCCAGGAUGUGGCCCAGCAGGAGAGCAAAGAAGACGGGGUCGGCCUCAAAGAGUUUCAUGUCCUCAACUGCCUGGCGCAGGGCUCGGAAGUCCUCGACCAGCUGGGCCUGGCAGGGAAGAACGGCUGAUCAGCCAAGGAAGCCGGGGAGGCGCCAGUUAUCCCCAGAAGCAACACCACAACCCCCAGCUACUCCUCCCAGCCUCAGGCCCAAGGGGUGUGGCCAAAGAGAAUGGAGGGACCACGGGCAGCACUCAGCCUGGGGCGUGAGCUGGGUUGCUGGCUGGCUGCAAAGGCUGCCCCCCAGCAAAAGGUGUGGGAUGCAUGAGAAGCAGGAAAAACCCUUAGAACUCAGCUCCUCCAAAUCCUCAUUGUAGGAGUUCUCUUGUGGGCACAGCGGGUUAAGGAUCCGGCAUUGGUCACUGCAGCAGCCUGGGUCGCUGCCAUGAUGUGGGUUCAACCCCUGGCCUGGGAACGUCCACAUGCGGCAGGGACAGCCAAAAAACAAACCAAAAAACCCAGCUCAUCACAGAUGGGGGAGGGGGGGCGCUAAAAGCAAGGAGAAGGCUUGCCUGGGGUCCCCCAGCAAAUGCUGGUGCAGGUGCUACAGCUCUGCCUAUAACUGUGCCCAGGAAGAGACCGCAAACCCAGCCCUGGCCCCGGAGCCCCUAAGGAUGAUUCGGAUGGAGCUGCUACUGGCAAUGCCCCCCAUCCCCUCCAGCCCCUCUCUGGGGGCUUAGCCUCCACCAGGGCCCUGCUCACAUUCUGAGGUCCAUCCUGGCUGGGCUCCUCCGGGGCCAGCUCUCCAAUCAGCAGGGGCUGCAGGAACUUGCGCACAAAACUGAGGUCCUGGUGGAAGGCGUGGAAGGCAUCCUGAAGGAGAACAGACAGUCAGGGGGACAGACAGACAGACAGACCGUUGCAGCCUGAAGCAGCAGGCAAAGCAGACAGGCAGUCUGGCUGUUCAGCUGUCACAGAAAGAGGACCACUCGGGUCAGCCUGGCCCACGAGUGUCGCCCCGCCCUGCAGCCCUUCCCCAAACCCGGCUGGGCGUUUUGUUCUGUUUCUAUUUAUUUUUAUUAAAGCAUAGUUGAUUUACAGUGUUGUGUCAAUUUCUGCUGCAAAGCAACACGACCCAGUCAUAUAUAUAUAUAUUCUCUUAUUAAUAAAUCUUCCAUCGUGUUCUACCGUAA
Molecule: non-coding RNA, 3113 nt
Organism: Sus scrofa (pig)
Lineage: Eukaryota; Metazoa; Chordata; Mammalia; Artiodactyla; Suidae
Source: RefSeq, a predicted model, not a curated record